CGCACAUUGCGCUCCCUGGUAUUCCGGGGAGCAUGCCUGUUCGAGCGUCAUUACAACCCUCACGCACUGCGUGGUAUUGGGCUCGCCCCGCUGGGCCUGCCUCAAAAUCAGUGGCGGCUUCUUCAGAACCCCUCAGCGUAGUAAUGCUACCCGCUGCUGGAGGCUGGAGCGGCCUGCUAGGAACCCCCACAUUCUAAAGGUUGACCUCGGAUCAGGUAGGGAUACCCGCUGAACUUAA
This 238-nucleotide unclassified non-coding RNA is filed under the name Leotiomycetes sp. RNAcentral's name for it is "partial contains 5.8S ribosomal RNA, internal transcribed spacer 2, and large subunit ribosomal RNA". Lineage: Eukaryota; Fungi; Ascomycota; Leotiomycetes. The record is from RNAcentral.